Molecule: ribosomal RNA, 718 nt
Filed under: Pseudomonas sp. AZ22R8
Lineage: Bacteria; Pseudomonadati; Pseudomonadota; Gammaproteobacteria; Pseudomonadales; Pseudomonadaceae
Description: bacterial SSU rRNA
Rfam family: Bacterial small subunit ribosomal RNA
Source: RNAcentral
CUUGCUCUUCGAUUCAGCGGCGGACGGGUGAGUAAUGCCUAGGAAUCUGCCUGGUAGUGGGGGACAACGUUUCGAAAGGAACGCUAAUACCGCAUACGUCCUACGGGAGAAAGCAGGGGACCUUCGGGCCUUGCGCUAUCAGAUGAGCCUAGGUCGGAUUAGCUAGUUGGUGAGGUAAUGGCUCACCAAGGCGACGAUCCGUAACUGGUCUGAGAGGAUGAUCAGUCACACUGGAACUGAGACACGGUCCAGACUCCUACGGGAGGCAGCAGUGGGGAAUAUUGGACAAUGGGCGAAAGCCUGAUCCAGCCAUGCCGCGUGUGUGAAGAAGGUCUUCGGAUUGUAAAGCACUUUAAGUUGGGAGGAAGGGCAGUAAGCGAAUACCUUGCUGUUUUGACGUUACCGACAGAAUAAGCACCGGCUAACUCUGUGCCAGCAGCCGCGGUAAUACAGAGGGUGCAAGCGUUAAUCGGAAUUACUGGGCGUAAAGCGCGCGUAGGUGGUUUGUUAAGUUGGAUGUGAAAGCCCCGGGCUCAACCUGGGAACUGCAUCCAAAACUGGCAAGCUAGAGUACAGUAGAGGGUGGUGGAAUUUCCUGUGUAGCGGUGAAAUGCGUAGAUAUAGGAAGGAACACCAGUGGCGAAGGCGACCACCUGGACUGAUACUGACACUGAGGUGCGAAAGCGUGGGGAGCAACAGGAUUANAUACCUGGUAGUC